GAGAGAGAUGCUUUAGAGUGUCAACUUGUUUUCAGAAAGGGUGUGGAAAUCUGGUUUGCAGUUCACUUUAAAAGUUACUUCUUUGUGACAACCUUGGGUCUCGAAUGCAAAGCAAGCUUCUUUCUUGCAACGUGUCAGUUUGCUAAACUCCAUAAGAUUUGUUUUUCCAGAUCUCAGCCCUUUGCCUCUCAUGCUAUUUGAUCCAAGAACAUCAGAAAAAUAUUAUAUCGAACUAGCAGUGGGACAUCUUGAAGCACAGCACAGUGUAACGUUGAGAACAAAGACAGGGUGUAAGGCGUGAUGAUCUUUCCUUUCUCCAUGCAUUAUCCAUGACUAUCUAGUGAUAGUCACUCAGGGUAGGGGAACCGAGAGGAACUCUGUAACUGCUGCCUGGAGCACCACACACAUUGGAUGCCCAGUCUGUGGUCCCUUACUGCACCACCACUUUGGAUGCUAUUCUAAAGCUGAGCAGUAUAGUAGGAUCCCCUGGAAGUCAGUGCUGGCAGAGAGCCAUGAGAGCAGGCUUACAGCACAGUCCCUCUCAGUCCGGAAUACUAAAGACGGAGCAUGCUGCUUAUCCUCUUAGCUUUCAGUGAAGCCUCAGAUAAACCAGAAUAGCUUAUGGCCCAUUAGGAUGCAGGUGGUAUAGGAUGCUAAGCACCUCAUCACUGUGGCUAAGUACCCAGGAGCAAAAUCAUGAUUUAUACAUUUUCCAGUCUUCUUUGUCUAGAAUUUUGAAGACUGGGGCUCUGCAGAGACUGGCUGGUGAAAAGCGCAGAAGCUGACACCAUGUUUGGAUACCCUCCAGUGUUCAGUUGCAUGUCCAGCCCAUCAUAUUCUCCAGUGCAGGAUCAUCAGUCUUUCUCCGAGGAGCUGGAGGCCUUGGGAGUGGGAGCCACUCGCGGCUUAAUCCUUCGCGCGCCGAAACACCAUGCUCUUGCUGGAGCUGCUGGGAAUAUUCACUGUAAAGGACACAGAAACGAUCUCCUUCCUACACUCGAGAAGAAAUUAUUCCACAUCCCAUAGAACAGGCAUCUUCCACGUGGCAUCCCAGCAAUUUGGACCGCGUACCUUGCAUACGUGCUGCUUUGACCAUAUGGCUAUGAGGAUAGGCUCAGAUGAAGGAGAUGGGCGUACAGGAGAGAGGACAAGGACUGCAAAUGGGAACAAGGUGUGCGACAGCAGCAUAAGAAAACGUGUGACAGGCGAUUUGGAAGAAGCUGGAGCAAAAAAGCAGCACAAGAAGUGAGAAUGAGCAAGAAGAAAUGUGAAAGAAGUAAAGAGAGAAAGAUUGCAGAAACCAUGGAAACAGGAAAUAUUAUAGCAAAAUGUAUUAGUAAAGCACCAGGGGUCAGCUUAAGGUAUAAAUGAGCAUUUUCAGAAAGAAUACACAAAACCAAAC
This 1402-nucleotide long non-coding RNA is filed under the name Fukomys damarensis (Damara mole-rat). RNAcentral's name for it is "lncRNA (ENSFDAG00000028262.1)". Lineage: Eukaryota; Metazoa; Chordata; Mammalia; Rodentia; Bathyergidae. The record is from RNAcentral.